This 241-nucleotide long non-coding RNA is filed under the name Lathyrus oleraceus (garden pea). RNAcentral describes it as "Pisum sativum (pea) long non-coding RNA (PSAT_LNC022995)". Lineage: Eukaryota; Viridiplantae; Streptophyta; Magnoliopsida; Fabales; Fabaceae. The record is from RNAcentral.
UUUUAUAGAUUACAUUAUAUUGCUAAUUAAUAAAUUUUAUUUUUAUUUUCUUUUUUUUAGUGAAACGAGAGAUAUUUAUAAUUUAAAUUCCAUGUUCGACAUUCUUAUUAUGUAAAAAUCAUUUAUAUUAAAUCAAAAUUAAAGUAUAAAGAUAAAUUUUUGUAUUUUCAUAUAUUUAUUAAGUAAAUUAUUAUUAUUAAAUGAAAAUUGAAAUUACUAUUUAUAUUUUAUACGCGAUGAA